Molecule: ribosomal RNA, 473 nt
Filed under: uncultured bacterium
Lineage: Bacteria
Description: partial 16S ribosomal RNA
Rfam family: Bacterial small subunit ribosomal RNA
Source: RNAcentral
GACGAACGCUGGCGGCGUGCUUAACACAUGCAAGUCGAACGGUAAGGCCCUUCGGGGUACACGAGUGGCGAACGGGUGAGUAACACGUGGGUGAUCUGCCCUGCACUUCGGGAUAAGCCUGGGAAACUGGGUCUAAUACCGGAUAGGACCACUGCCUGCAUGGGUGGUGGUGGAAAGCUUUUGCGGUGUGGGAUGGGCCCGCGGCCUAUCAGCUUGUUGGUGGGGUGAUGGCCUACCAAGGCGACGACGGGUAGCCGGCCUGAGAGGGUGACCGGCCACACUGGGACUGAGAUACGGCCCAGACUCCUACGGGAGGCAGCAGUGAGGAAUCUUCCGCAAUGGGCGAAAGCCUGACGGAGCAACGCCGCGUGCAGGAUGACGGCCUUCGGGUUGUAAACUGCUUUUCUGAAGGAAGAUUGUGACGGUACUUCAGGAAUAAGGACCGGCUAACUACGUGCCAGCAGCCGCAGUAA